CGCGCGCAGGGGCCGCCGCGGUAGGCCGGCUGUCUGGCGACGUCGAGGCCUAUCGGGGAGCAGGUCGUGCGGUGGGAACGUCAGAAUCCGGCCGGGGCCGCCAGGGUUGGGCGCCCAGUUUCGAGAAUGGGGACGGUCGCCAUCGGUGCGGAGGGAUGAGGAUGUGGAAAGCCUCGUGGUGGAACAGCGGCCUGACCCAUUCAUGUGGAAGGAUGAAAGCUCUACCUAAGAACACAAAGUGAAUGGAAGAGACCUGUCACUAUGCAAACAGUACGGCACUCUGAACAGACGCUGAGAACUGCUCUCAUCUCAAAGAACCCAGCGCUUGUGUCCCAGUAUGAGAAGUUAGAGUCCGGAGAGCGGCGUUUGAUGAGUGAAGCCUUCCAGCCAGCCAGCGAUCUCUUUCGACCCAUAACCUUGCAUUCUCCAUCAGAUUGGAUCACUUCCCAUCCUGAGCCUCCCCAAGACUUUGAAGAGUUUUUCAAUGAUCCUUACAGAAAGACACCCUCUCCAGAGAAAUGCUGUAUUUAUAUACAGUGCAUUGGAUCGCUAGGAAACACCAAAAUGAUCAGUGAAGAAUAUGUUAAAUGGCUGAAAGGCUACUGUGAAGCAUUUUUCUAUGGCUUGACGGUAAAACUCUUAGAACCGGUUCCUGUCUCUGCAACGAGGUGCUCCUUUAGAGUCAACGAGAACACACGAAACCUACAAAUACAUGCAGGGCACAUCCUGAAGUUCUUAAAAAAGAAGAAACCCGAAGAUGCCUUCUGUGUUGUGGGGAUAACAAUGAUUGAUCUUUACCCAAGGGACUCCUGGAAUUUUGUCUUCGGACAGGCCUCUCUGACAGAUGGUGUGGGGAUAUUCAGCUUUGCCAGGUAUGGCAGUGAUUUCUACAGCUCACGCUAUGAAGGCAAGGUGAAGACGCUGCAGCAAAAAUCUUCAAGUGACUAUUCCGUUUUUGAUAACUAUUACAUCCCUGAAGUGACCAGUGUGUUACUGCUUCGGUCCUGUAAGACUCUCACCCAUGAGAUCGGACACAUAUUUGGAGUUCGGCACUGCCAGUGGCUUGCAUGCCUAAUGCAAGGCUCCAACCACUUGGAAGAAGCUGACCGGCGCCCCCUAAAUCUGUGCCCCAUCUGUUUACGCAAGUUACAGUGUGCUAUUGGCUUCAACAUUAGAGAAAGAUACAAAGCGCUGGUGAGGUGGAUUGAUGGUGAAUCUGCUGGCACACCUGGAGUCACUCCGAAACACAGUCGUGAGGAUAACGUGAAUUUGCCCAAACCUGUGGAAGCCUUCAAGGAAUGGAAAGAGUGGAUAAUAAAAUGCCUUGUUGUUGUCCAAAACUAGGGACUCCCAAUAGGAGUAAUUAAAAUAAAGACUUGCCCACUGUGCUUUCCUUUGGGUGGAGUGCUUCAUUGGAAUAAACUGUUCACUGACUCUGCCCUGUAUCGAAGUAACAGAAUCGAAGCACCUUUAAAGCACCCGAACUUGAAAUGAGGCUCAGUUUGAAUGAUAAAUGUUCUAAAUGCGUUUUCUUCUGCCUUAGUAGUUUGGUCUGUGGCAGCCAGCACAUCACUUCCAUUCUUCAAAUGUAUUUAAAGUCUCGAGAGAGCUAGGACUAGCAGAAACUAUAAGUUUACUGGAGUGGGGGAGAGAGUGUGAUGGGGUUACCUGUCGGUGUGCCAAUGGCCAGGAUGGCUGUCAGGCUGUGAACAUCAGCCGCAUUUCCACGGUGGGGCACAGGGUGACAACCUUGGAUGUGACAAACCAUCUCUGUAUCUCAGUGUGUCCCGGAAAUGGAGAUGUUAGCGCAGAUCACUGGACUGAAUGUGGUGAGCAUCUUAACCCUGAGGGCGAAACUUCAUGGUCGUUUUUUAUUCUGAACUUUGAAACCUAAAUUCUUUUGCUGUUAUUAUUUAUGCAGUAUGACUUAAACCACAGUUUAUAACUGAAUAAAUGGAUUCCCUUA
Molecule: RNA transcript, 1966 nt
Organism: Hipposideros armiger (great roundleaf bat)
Lineage: Eukaryota; Metazoa; Chordata; Mammalia; Chiroptera; Hipposideridae
Gene: AMZ2
Gene name: archaelysin family metallopeptidase 2
Exons: 9
Source: RefSeq, a predicted model, not a curated record